This 587-nucleotide ribosomal RNA is filed under the name uncultured Thauera sp. RNAcentral describes it as "bacterial SSU rRNA". It matches the Rfam family "Bacterial small subunit ribosomal RNA", at positions 338 to 916 of the family's 1533-position model. The record is from RNAcentral. Lineage: Bacteria; Pseudomonadati; Pseudomonadota; Betaproteobacteria; Rhodocyclales; Zoogloeaceae.
CCUACGGGAGGCAGCAGUGGGGAAUCUUCGACAAUGGGCGCAAGCCUGAUCUAGCCAUGCCGCGUGAGCGAUGAAGGCCUUAGGGUUGUAAAGCUCUUUCGGCCGGGAAGAAAUCGUGUUCUCUAACAUAGGACAUGGAUGACGGUACCGGACUAAGAAGCACCGGCUAACUACGUGCCAGCAGCCGCGGUAAUACGUAGGGUGCGAGCGUUAAUCGGAAUUACUGGGCGUAAAGCGUGCGCAGGCGGUUUUGUAAGACAGAUGUGAAAUCCCCGGGCUUAACCUGGGAACUGCGUUUGUGACUGCAAGGCUAGAGUACGGCAGAGGGGGGUGGAAUUCCUGGUGUAGCAGUGAAAUGCGUAGAUAUCAGGAGGAACACCGAUGGCGAAGGCAGCCCCCUGGGCCUGUACUGACGCUCAUGCACGAAAGCGUGGGGAGCAAACAGGAUUAGAUACCCUGGUAGUCCACGCCCUAAACGAUGUCGACUAGUCGUUCGGAGCAGCAAUGCACUGAGUGACGCAGCUAACGCGUGAAGUCGACCGCCUGGGGAGUACGGCCGCAAGGUUAAAACUCAAAGGAAUUGACGG